Molecule: small nucleolar RNA, 68 nt
Organism: Pelobates fuscus (common spadefoot toad)
Lineage: Eukaryota; Metazoa; Chordata; Amphibia; Anura; Pelobatidae
Product: small nucleolar RNA SNORD123
Exons: 1
Source: RefSeq, a predicted model, not a curated record
GGGGAAAAUGAUGAAAAAUUGGAUACAGAUUUCAUUUCCCGAAAAUGCCAUCCAUUUCCUGAUAUUCC